AACGAACGCUGGCGGCAUGCCUAACACAUGCAAGUCGAACGAUGGUCUUCGGAUCAUAGUGGCGCACGGGUGCGUAACGCGUGGGAAUCUGCCCUUGGGUUCGGAAUAACAGUUGGAAACGACUGCUAAUACCGGAUGAUGUCGAUAAGACCAAAGAUUUAUCGCCCGAGGAUGAGCCCGCGUCGGAUUAGCUAGUUGGUGGGGUAAAGACCUACCAAGGCGACGAUCCGUAGCUGGUCUGAGAGGAUGAUCAGCCACACUGGGACUGAGACACGGCCCAGACUCCUACGGGAGGCAGCAGUGGGGAAUAUUGGACAAUGGGCGCAAGCCUGAUCCAGCAAUGCCGCGUGAGUGAUGAAGGCCUUAGGGUUGUAAAGCUCUUUUACCCGGGAAGAUAAUGACUGUACCGGGAGAAUAAGCCCCGGCUAACUCCGUG
RNAcentral lists this ribosomal RNA (436 nucleotides) under uncultured bacterium. RNAcentral describes it as "partial 16S ribosomal RNA". It matches the Rfam family "Bacterial small subunit ribosomal RNA", at positions 29 to 507 of the family's 1533-position model. The record is from RNAcentral.